UUUUCCCCCCUCACUCUUUUUCAGUAGUGUCCCAAGAAAUAAGUACACAAUCGGGUGGGCUGCCACCCUCCUUGUGGUGCCAGCUGAGCACCGGGGCAAAGUGCACUUUCCUGAAGGGUCUGGCCCUGGCUGCACAGGAUUUGCUGAUGUUUUUGUAAAGCGUGGUGGCUGUGUUUCUCCAUAGAUAAAACCGAGCUGCGUGCUUUCUGUUUGACCUUUGUUUUGGAGUAAGAACAGCAACACAAGAGAGCUGAAUUGAAGUUUCCACGGGAGAAGGCGAGGCACGUGGUGCACGCGCGGGUGGACGUGCACGUGUACGGCCUGCCCCCUGCGGGGACCCUCCUCCUCGGGGACUUACAGCACCGGUGCCUCGAAAACAACAGCCUGCCUUACCUGAAAUGACACAGCUGAAACGGUUCCCAAACAGCGAGUUAUUCGUUAUCGGACGGGGGUGAAAGUGCAAAGCUGGGAUCGAGGCUUUGCCUUCCUCAGCGGGCACCGUUUCCAGUCAAGGCCACGCUCCUUCCUCUUGGGUUUGGUUCGUCCCUUCCCUGAGCAUGUGGGGCACAUGCCCCUUCCCUAAGGGACAUCUCCAGCUCCUCUCCCCGUGGAGAGGACAUUUCAGCCUCCCCCUCACAUCUUUGUGCCUCCCAUGGCAUCGCCACCAGGCUGCUUUCCUCUCUGGCUGCAGGCUGUGGUGGAGAUGCAGCCGCGAUACGCUUGGUCCAUAAGGAUCCCGAGCACUGCAUCCUGAUUGCUCGUCAACCGAAAUGUCAGUGGCUUCUCAGCCAGCUUACAGAAAAGAAAAUAUUUAAAAAACUUUAGGAAAUUAAUUUAACUGGACUUGGAGCAAAGUUUUUUGGCUAGAAAUUCAGGCUCCGGCCAACACGGAAGGCUUCUGCCAACUCAUUGCCUUGGUCCUCGAAGCCAGCAAUGAAAAGAGAGCAAGGAGAAGAAAAAAAAAAAUCCCCUCCAUUGCCCAUUAGAUUUAAUUGUGCUUUUUUGUAAGCCUCAUAAAUCCUGCCCAAAUCACGUCAUCAAGCCACAGGGAAACUGAAACCUUGCCCAAGGCAGGAGCCAGCAGAGCUGUUCAGACUCGAAGGGUUGCACUUGGGGACAAGCUCAGCGCGCUGCGGUGCUGCUCUGAGCAGGGAAUUGUUUGUGGGAGCCUGGGCGAGGGGCGGAAAGGCGGCGGGGAGGGGAGCGGGGGCUCCAGGAGCAGGACCGGGCCCCUGCCCUGCCUUGUUCCUCCGUGGGUGCCAGCACAGCCGGGAGAGGAAGAGCAGCACGCGGAGAGGCAAAGCAGACAUCCUCACCUCCGCCCCCGAGGAGGCCUUCAAAGGGCUUUUCCUCUGGAGGGGGGAGCCGGAAGGGAGGAGCGGGGAUCCGCGCUGGGAAGGGCCCUUCCAAGCUCCUUAUUUUUUCCUUUGGGCAUGGGACGGGAGGAGGGGGGGAGGAUUAAAACAUGAAGGCGUCUGCACUGAGCUCUCAAGGGCUUUCCUCCCCUUCUCUCUUGCGGUGCUUUGUUGUGAUGUUUCCACAUGCAGCUCCCAGCGAGGAAAAGAGGCUUUUGGAUCGGGGGAAGAGCAUCCUUGUCGGCGCUCUCCUCUGGCGCGUGGUGCUCCCCUGGGACACCAGUGGCGUCUCCCCACAGAAAACAGGGGAUCCCCCAGUCCCGGGCUGGCCAGAAGGGAGCAGGAGAGCAGGGUUUGGCCUGAAGCAGUGGCUGGCCCUACACAGGGCAUGUUUAUUGCCCACGGAGGACAGAUGUGCUGUCACCUCCUGCAGCCCUGCAAUAUACGCCCUACGGCUAUAGCUGAAAUAUGUGUAAAAAGCAUAAGAGGAUAAGGAUCCCCCUGCCAAGCUUCGUGAGGAAGCCCCUGAGCUCUGCCACGUCCCGGCGCCCUGACCUUUACGUUCAGCCAGGCUUUACUCAGCCUCAUCAUUAUUUUGGCUGCGUUUUUGCUGCAGAGGAAUGCAGGUGUUUCCUCUGUUCCCACCAGUGUGCCCAUGCUCUGAUUUCUGAGAGGCCGGGGAGGCUGCUCAUGCGUGUCGUGUCGUGCUCAAGGAGGCAUCUGAGGAAAAUGUGGAUGCAGUUCAGGCAAAUGACCAGGGGAACGAUGCAUUUGCAUGCACUUGCAUGUGAGUGUAAUUUAGGCAGGCAACGUGUUGAGUUUGCUUGAAAAUCUGGCCCAUGUUUUUCCAUUUCUGAUUUUCUUUUUUCCUUAAGAUAAAAAAAAGGCAAACACCUUGUUCUUUCAUUUGGUCUGCAAUAACCCGAGCUGGUUCCCUUGGAAAGCUUAUUUAUUCUCCUUGGCUGCUGAAGUGGAUGCUGAAUUUUGAGCAUCCUGAGAAGAGACGGUGCGCAGAUGGGAUUCUUUGUUGCUGAAGCUUUUGUUGGACAAUUAUAAGGCUCAUUUAUAUAGCUGUUUAUAUAUUAAAAUUGUUGGGUUGCCUGGGGCUACGGAUAAGCGCUCCUUGUUUGACAUAUCUCUAAAUAAAUAUAAAGGCACAUUAUUAAUGGAUACAGCUUUAAAAGCAAACACCCAGAGAUGCACUUACAAUAAGGGGAGGAAAAACCAAGGUUACAUCAUGUUGCUAGAAGCCAACUGCUUUGUUUUCUAAAAUGUUUCUCUGUAGGACACAGAUGAUUUUUUGACUCAUUCAGUGUUUGAGCAUCCAAAAAGUCUCACGGUUGUUCCAGAAUUCUUUCAACAGCAUCCCGAAUGGCAUUAACAGACAGUUACACUAUUUCACUGCCCAGCUUAUCCCUUCCCCAUGAUGGACUCAUGUUUGUCAGGGAGCUUUGGGAAGGAAUAUUCUGUAUUUCUGGAGAGCGGUGUCCCUGCUGAGGCAGGACUCGGCUUUUUGGGGGCUUUUCAAUCCACAUCAUUUUGCGAUCUCAAGAUGCGUGGCUGUCCCUGGGCUUGUGCAAAUGAAAGUGCACCUCUGGGUGAGCACCAGGAGUCACCAGGAGGCUGAAGCUAGUUAUGGCUGGCACAAGGAAGCAUCUCCUAAGUUCACAGGGAACCAUUUUUACUGGCAAUCAUGAACUUGAUUGUGUGCUUUCUGCCACCCCUGCUGCACUCCUUCUCUGGAGGAUGGUGUUUUCUUCCUCUUCCUCCUUCUCUCCUCCUCCUCCUGUGUGAGUCCGCCUCUGCUAACAUCCAGCUCGGAUGCUGAGAAAAGCCUGAGAACAGCAGCAGGGCACGAGCCCUCCAGCAGCCCUCUAACAGCAUGGUGAAAGCUCCUGUGCCUCCUCGAGUGCUGUUUGUUCAGACAUUGCCUCCGGUGUCCUGGCCAGGCUCCAGGGGGUUUUGCAACUCCACCUUCCAGCCAUGCAGGGCUCAUCCUGAAUUCCUCUGGUCUCCCUCCCGCAGGCAGCUCUCCGUCAGCAGUGGGACGGCUCUCCUGAGAUGAGGGACCGGACCUGGCUCUCCUCUGCGUGCUGCCAGCCCUUAGCUGUGACCCUCCUGUCGGACAGCCGCUCACCGCACGGGUCCCCACAUGCUCAGGGGGCUUUGCCAUGGUGCCCCCUCGGUGUACUCCUCAAGCAGGCGUGAAAAACUGCCCGGUAUCAAGUUGGCCGUGUUUAACUUUUGGGUGCUUUGGUGACUUGCAGUCCUCCACUGCACGGAGGAGCUCUGGGGAAGGAUGAAGGACACACAAGUGUUGGAAGCGCAGAGGCAGAGGAUAAAAGGGCAGGCUGGGCUGAUCAGGAUCCAGCCAAAAAAAUCUCCAAAGCAGCAAAACAGAGAUGGAGAAAGGGUUGCCAGUGAGUCAGGGGGAAGGAACGGCAGCAUUGUCUCUCGUUUGAGCAAAGUCUGUAAUGGAAGAAGACUGAGUGCCAGGGAACUAAUAUCCCUCUGCAGCGAUUGUUUGAUCCUUCCCUUCCCCUCCAAAAAAGCAAGUUGCUGCUGGCUGGCUUGCAAGUAGAAAAACCCAGUCCAAGAAAUAAUCGAGUCUCUUGUGCCAAUAAGCGCAUCUGUUGGUGUGUCAGUGUUGAUCCUCCUUCAGUACAUGCCACAUGCUCGUUUCUUUACACAAGAUGGGCUAGAAGGGCCAUUAACUAGAUUAGGAAUUCUAAGGCACAAUUAAAAAACAUGCUGCCUCUUUGCUUUAAUCUUCCCUCCUUUCGCUCCCAGGCUUGUUUUCAUGCCGGCCUGACACAGUCCUCAGUUGGCUGGCGGCGGGAGGCUAUCAUUGCACAACCCUGGCUGGUUUCUGAGCUGUGCAACACCCUGCAGCACCUCGGCAGCAGCACGCCGGCCCGCCAGGCUCUCCAGCAAAGGAGUAACCCCACCGGCUGGCAGAGUGAGAGCCGCAUUUACCACCCGGGGGGGAAGAAGGUGUGAGCAGGAGAGGCUCGGAUGGGCAGGAGCAGCCCUGCUGGGAGCCCUCCCGAUGCCCCGAGCAGCAUCUGGUGGCAUGGGGGGCCGGCAGCCUGCUCGCUGGCACGGGGAGCUGCUCCUUAAUUGCUGUGGCGUUGUGCAAAUGCGGUGCAAAUUUCACAGAGGACAUAGCGUAUUCUAAGAUGAUUGUUUUUAUUCCUCGGAGGCAUUACCUUGGACUCCUGCUGGUGUGGAGCCCUUCCUCCUCUGCUCUCAGCAGUGCACGGGGGGGCACUGCUUGUGCACCCACAGCUGCACCCUGACCCCCAGUGAGUAGCAGACUGUACCCUGCUUCCCAAGGGGAGGCAGGCCUGCAGCCAUGACCUGAACAAGUAUGAGAGUGGCGCUUGCAGGCUGAGAAGCAGAGGAGCACGUCAGGCCGCACGUUUCCUCAGGAUGUCUCAUCUCAGCAGCGGUGUCUUCUGCUGACGAUACAGGCGGGCUGCAAAGUGCCACCGCCUGUGUCUGUGUUCGGAGAAGUCCCCGUGAUGGUCCACCUUCUGGGGCAGACAGAGCUGCCAUGUGAAGGAUAUGGGCAGCGUAGGACAGUGUUACGUGCUGCUUCCUGGAGGCGGAAGAUACUGCUUCCCGACGGCAUCGCUUCCCAAACUCCGUAUCUGCAGAUGGCCCCGUGCCAGUGCUUCGGAGCACUGAUUAGAUCUGAAUGUGAGACUUCCCACAAUUCAGGGGAAACUGCGAGGUGGAGCAGGGCCUGGGGUUCCUGCUCAGGCUCGUUCCUGACAUGCGCAGGUAUCCCUAGCAAGCUGCUGCUGCUGGCUGAGGGACCCCUAUCCCCUCGCCUGCACUGGGCCCACAAAAUCGUAAUUCCCUCAGAUGCAGUAGGAUUUCUUUCCGUGUACCUGUGAGUGGGAGGAGGAUAUGGCUUGUCACUUUUUUUUUUCCCACUCUCACGCCAAUUUUGGUGCAAUAUAACGGGCCUGCCCUGUCAAACUCAGAGGGAGUUUUGCCAUUAAUUGCAACUCAAGCAGGGAUAUUGCUGAACGUGAUAAAAUCCAACAGAAAUCUUUAAAACUCCCCAGAUCACCGCCUUUGCUGCAGUUAAUUUUCUGUCCAUGACUUUUCGACAAAAUCCUAUACAGCUAAAACAUGCAAUUCAAGAAGCCUUACUGCCUUGACCUAAGCGCUAAGGCAUUGCACAAGCUGCCUGCCAGAUACCACAGCCCCCGCCGUUACCGACAGGUAAUUAGGUCACCACUUGUGAACUUUUGACACGCACAGACUUACGGCCUGAUAACGUGGAUGCCCUCGAGCAAGUCAGGGCAAUCGGCUUAUCGUCAUGAAUCUAAGGAGCAUUGAACUCUAAACAGUCAUUUAGAGUAAGAUGGCUUCAGUCCCCGGUGCUUUAAUCCUACCCGAAGGCACACGACUUGUCUGGGGGAUGUCUUGCUGGAGAUGCCUGAGGGAACCGAGGGAGCAGCUGUGCUGUUGCAGGAUCAUGCAUGGGCGCUUGCUUGGGUCUGCAUGGACACGUCUGCAGAGCCUGUUUUGCACGGGCUUUAGCACAUCAGGAGACAUAUCUCUGUGCCACAACGAGCCCUCAGAGGCAAGGCAGGACCGUGACAGAAGAUGGUGGCUAAGGACCAAGCCUGGCGGAGCUGUGGUUCCAGGUGUGCGCGAGAGCUUCUGUGGGAGGUGUCCUAAAAAUGUCUGCUGUCAUCUUUCGUAAGUGGAAAAUGCCGGAGAUGAUCAGCUCACCUCCCUCUCACCUUGCUUUAUUUGUGUAUUCUGCAUAUUUUUUUCCUCGUCCUGCAUCUCGGGGCACUUUCCCAUCGGCUCAUGCUGUUAUGUCACUCUCCAGUGGGUGAACUCAGUCCGACCAGGAAACACUGAAGGAAAAUGAGAUGCAGAUGUGCUAACUGCAUUCAUAUUCCCCUUCACUGCAGUUGCUGCUGGAGAGCUUGGACUGCUGCUUUGACUUUGUUCCUCCGCGGAGCGCGCUCGCAUUAAAAUGUCAAUCUUAUCUGCGUUUCAGUUCAGCGUGCCUGCCCCUGCGGAACAGAUUGUUCAAUGCACUUACAUCCUCCCCAGUCGCCCUCCAAGGGGAUGACUCAGUCUGUAACACAGCACAUCUGCUUGGGACUACAGAGGACACUGGAACCUAGCAGGGGCUUGGAUCUGCCGCUCAGUUAUGUCAUGUCUGAGCAUCGCCUGUUUGUGCGUUUUCAGAAAACCCAGAUAAAAGAAUAUGAAAGGAGAAGAGUAAAAAAAAAAAAAAAAGGUUUUCUCCAUAAAUUAAUAGUGACCUCAAAGCUCCCAUGCUGGAAAAAUUGCUAUGUGAUGCAAUGCCAGUAAAAUAGAAGCAACUGCCACUUCACAGAAAAAGCAGUUAUAUUUCUGAUUAAUUGCUGUGUUUUUUGAGGUUUCAGUAAAAAUGGCUGCUGAUUAUUUCUGAAACUUAUGAUGACUGUCUUAGUGCAUAACCCCUUCUUAACAUCAAUUUGGCAAACAGAAAAGGAAAUAUAUCAUACGAUAUUCCGCUUGUAGGGCCAAGUUCUGUCAUCUAUCUGCUCGCAAAGCCUCUGUUGACUGCCUUGGGAUUUCUCCUUGCAGAAUGAUGGCAGGACAUGAUCCAGACCCAAUAUAAAUGUAACAUAUGAACCAGUAUAUCUUCAGAUGGAGAAAACGUGUGUGGAAUUUCCCUGUGCUAUCUUGUGCAUGCUUUAUAGGGCAACUACAUCCACAGUUAUUGAAAAGAAGCACAGACGUCUGUGGUUAGACAUCAAUGACUUGUGGGAGGGAAAAGAGGGAAACUGGAAGACUUAGAAUUUGUGCUUGAUUGGUUUACUGAGAAAUACAAGGCGAGAGAAAUGAAAACAGUUCAGAAUAGCACUGUAAAGAGGGGAAAUUGGCAUUGCUGGCAACACUGAUGAAAUGUAAUGUCCUUGCCAGGAGAGUAUAAAUUAUGGGUUUCCUGAUAGAAAAUGUUGAUGAGGCCAGUAGGGGGGAGAGUCUGAGGAAAAUGUAUGCCUGUGGAAACUGAUUUUUAUUUUGGUGAUGACUGAAAAUAGCCAUGAAGCCUGGAACUUGUAAACCUGGGAAUCCUGAAAUUAAUAACUUUUAAGAGUUAACUGUUGGAGAGUGCCAUCCCCACGAGGACCGUUAUUUGCUUUUCAGGUUUUGCAUAUCCUUGCCUAUUUUAAGUGCUCAGACUCACUGCUGCCCAUAUAGCAUCCUGUGAAGCAGUGGUUAUCCAAGAUAGCAGCCUUCAUUUAAACAGCAAUCGAGGUGGCUGCAGGAAGUGCUGGUGGUGACGGGGUGUUUGCUUAGUGGCUCUGCUUUGGGUAGGUUUUAUGUUGCACACAUCUCUGCACCACCUGAUUUACGCCUGCCUUAGGUGUGCUGUGUGCCACCUCCAUCUGUCCUGUGCUGUUUUUUUCUAGUGCUCUCUUUGCAGGAAGAAAUGUAUACAAUAUAGUACUGUGCUUCUGUAGAGUUUCUUGCUUAAAUCUAUAUCAUGGGACACAUUGAAGCUCUGGAGGUCUCCUGUCCAAACCCCUGCUCAAAGCAAGUCUAGCUUUACAGUGAGACCACACUUUCCAGGGCCUUGCUCAGGCACACUCUGAGUAUCUCCAAAGAUGGAGAUUUCAAAGUUUCCCUGGGCUGUAGGCUUGCUUCAUCAAGCAGGAUGAUCCUUCUUUAUAACAUUCAGUGCUUGGUGCUGAUCCAGAUUUGAGGCCUUUACAACAGAGGAUGCUAUUUAUCGCCUUUGGGGCAGGCUUUGGCUGCUUGAGUAGAAGCAGAUGAAGGAAGGUUUUCUUGGCCUGACAGCAAACCUCAGUGUCAGCCCCAAGAAACUUGAUCUAAAGAGUUUUCCACAAAGGCGAGCCUCGGGCUACCUGGCAGAAAGAAAGAGGCUCCUGCGGGGAAUGGUUCAGAGCACCUCUGUGAAGCUCCUCCUUUGAAAUGCCCUCCAGAAGCACUUGUCUAUCCUCAGCGAUAACAGAAGAGGCACAGGAAGAUCAGCUUCCCCUCUGCUUCCUCUGUGCACGAACCAGCGAGCCACCCACCACUAAGCCUGAAAUUUGCUCCCUUUUUCUCUUCAUCUGGACGGAAAGCUAUGGAGAUCUGGCAGGGCAAGGGGGAGAAAGGUGCUGUUUAAGAGCAACAUUUCAACAGCUUGGCUUUGUAUACAAUAACAAUGCUGCUGAGUCACCAGCCCUUCAGCUCCUCAUCCUGUGUACGGGUUGUGACCGUCCUUCAGCGGACUCUGGAAUUUGUUGAGAAGGAGCAGUAUUUGCAAACAGCCACUGCUUUUCAUUGCCUGGGAGCUGAAAAGUCUCUGUUUUACAAGGUACCCCCCCAGCAAAAUUGCAAACCAAACCUGCUGCAGUUGCACUUGGUGGCUCUUCUCUUCAAACGCAGUCCUGCUGAUGGCGAGAUCUGUGCUUAGUGUUCCUGGCAGACAGGGCAGGGCCCCCUGUCUACUCGUUUCGGAGGAAAAAAUAAUUUGUGAUGGCAAGAUGGUCGUUUGCUCUAUGGCGGGAUUUGAUGCUGUAGUGAAAUACCACAAGGUGCUGUCCUGGUGAGUCCCUUUCCGACUGCUAGGGCAGCAGUGUCCCCUCGGCACGGUGCUCCCCUUCCACGGCACUUCUGGCCUGGCUUCCCGAGAGAAGGAGGCCUGUGGGGUCUUGUUCUGCAUGAGUGUUGGAGAAAGUCCCUGACAAAGAUCUUUCAGCUGUUGGCAGCUCUCAAUCAAAUUUGUUAGCAGGGUGGAGAUCUCGGCAACUUUAUGUUCUUACAAGUUUAGUGAAAAUAAACAGCCAGGUAAAGAGGAGACAAGGCCUCGUUGAUAAUUCCUGCUGUGGGAAAGGCAGGAGCUGCUAUCUCGCUACGCAUCUGGAUGGGAGACACAAAGCUCCAGGGUUUUCCCUGGCUGUGGAGCUAUUUGUUUAUUUCCCCAGUCCAAGUCAAGGCAAAGCACUGUGCAGUGAGACGAGGAGCUCAGGGGGCUGGUUUCACAUCUGCCUUAAAGAUGGCUGUGCUGUAAAUGCUGUGCUCGGUUCGCAGGCUGCCUUCUCGCUAGGCCCCUUUGGAUUUCUUCACUGUCCUCUGCGGAAAGGGCCUGUUCUUGAAGUGUGUGCAUAUCUCCCUUCUGGCUUCUGGCAAACAAGUUUUCUUCUUCUUUUUUUUUUUUUUUUUUUUUUUAAACAGAGCACAAAUGAUUACCCAGAGUCAACUGUCUCUGGCCUCCUGUCUGCAGAAUCUCUUUUAUGAAGUAAAUGUUUAUGCUUUCAGACUCCCUCUAGGCCUGUAUAAUCAUUCAGCACAUGGCUGCAGGAUAAAUCUGUUCUUGCAGUUAGCAAAGGAGUAAAUGCAUUCUCCAAAAUCCUCAACGAAACCACGAGAAUUGGAGGGACACCAAACCAAAACAUUCUUUUCAUUUAGGCUGUUAGAGCUGCUGGGAAACUGGAUACUUUGCAGAGGAAUUGGCUUUUUUUUUUUUUUUUUUUUUUUUUUUUCCCCUUCACUGCUUUUUUUUUUUUUUUUCCUUGAAGUCUGUAGCAAUGGAAUGAGUGAAUUAUUUCCUGGGGCAGCUGCUGUGUAACAUCCAAUACUUUAUUCUUUGAGCUUGCAAAAAUAAAUGCGUCAAGAGGAAGAAAGUGGCAAGCUGCUUGGGGUUCCAGAGGAGCAGGCAGCUCUGGAGAUUUCACCUUUGUUUUUGUGGCAUGUGCUAGGUAUGUCCCUCAUCUCUUUCAGCUUCUGCAGGCGCCACCUGCCCCUUGUUCUUCUUCAAGAAAUAGAUGAAGUAAAUCCGAGACACGAGGCCUCCAGGGAGUGCCUGGGGAAGGAGCAAAAUAGCGGGCAGUAGGAAGAGAGAGACCCUCGUACCUCUUCAAGGGAUGGAGAUGGAAGAUUGAAAAAAGCCUCACGUGUCUGAGCAGCUGGUGCAGGCUGCCAGCCAUUGUGCCUUACUGGUGACACAUGCCUCCAUCAGCAGACGUCCCCGCAUGAGUUAAAGGAACAAAAAAAAAAAGUGUGCUACAAGUGCCUGAGCCCAGUCCCUCCCGGUGCUGGCUGUGGGGCCAGCUGGCAGGCCUUCCCCCCCAAACUGUGCUUACGCUGCAGAGGCACCCGGCUAUUUUCUGAAGGGUUAAAUUUGCUGUGGGUCUCCCCUGGAGAGCUUCCUCUGCAGAUGGAGGAAGGCUUUGAUCUCUGCUUCCCAGGACCCCCUUCCUGCCCUGCUUUCCUUCAUCGUUAGUUUUACUGCCCUGCUUCACUGCUCCGGGGGGCUGCCUGGGACCAGCAGGGUCCCACGCCGCGGUGCAGCCUGCCCUGUGCCUCCGGGAGCGGCAUGCAGCCUCCUCCACCUCCUCUGCUCCCUCCUCGCAGGCUGAGGCAAGGCUGUGCAGCUCCUGGAAACCCCCAUGGCCGUGCUGAGUCACGCUGUGCAAGGACAUAGCUGGUCCUCUGUCUAUCUAGCUGGUCUGGAUCAAUGCUAUCAUAGCAGCAAGAAGCCGUGUGCUGCAGCUGUUGCACUUCAAAGGAGUACUUACGGACCACGUUUCUCUGCUCCUUGAAAUAUCAGAGGGGUCUUCACUAUUUCAUACAUUUAAUGCAAAUAAAUAAAUAAAUAAAUGAUUCUCUCCUUCUUCGUCUCAGAGGUAGGUGUGGCACAACACAAGCUUGGGGCUAUCUUUCGGGGUUUGAGGAGGAAAGCAUAUAUCAGUGGGUGUCUGUCAUCUGUCCUGUGCCUUUAUAAAGUCCCCAAUAUACCCUGAUUGGGACCUUUUUGGGGUAUAAAGAUGAGUUGUACCAACGCAUUGCCAUGUAAACCCAAUCCAGAGGCCCCAGCAGUGUGUGGGGCAGCAGGGCAUGAACUGCACGGUGAUUUCCAUAGUGUGUGGUGUAAGACACCCCCUUCCCCCCUUUAUUUUUCAGCUUCUCUCUUCCCACCUGUGAAAUAAAACAUCUUUUUGUCUUUGGAAAAGGCUUUAUAUACACUGAGGAGUGGUGCUUUCUUCACUUGUGUUUCUGUACCUGAAUAAGUUCUGGGUUUGCAGGUGUCAAGUGGUAUUUUGUAUUGUCUGUGGAGGCUGGGAAGAGAGAGAAGGAUAUAAUUUGGGGAACAGGUGACCUGUGUCUGGCCUUCUAAGAUCCUUUCUCAGAGCACAUUAACAAAAUGCACAGACAGAAACUUCCUGGCCAGUAUAUUUGCUUCCUUAUAGCAAUAUAUUAAGUGAAGUGCUUUGGAGAAGGAAAAUACAGAAAUGAAAGAAAGAAAAAAAAAAGAUGAAAUCAAUAAAUUAGUAUCAUAUUAAUAAGUAAUCACUUCAUCCGCUGAAUGAAGGUUUAGACAAACAUUCGACAGGAAAGGAGGGUGCCUGGGAAGGAAAGCAGUGCUGGAAUUAAGUGUAACCAGAUGAGAAGUGCCAUUAUCUUUCCGAACAACGUGCACACAUCUCCAGCGAUAGUCCAAAAUGUUGUCACUUACCGUAACACUAGCAUAGUUGUUGGGGACACUGCUUUGGCAAGCUGUAGGCUUCUUUAUUUAUGAAAGGGCAAUUUAUUAUGUUAUGGGAAGGGUAUGCAAUGAGACGUGCACAUUUCUUAAAUUAAGAAAGUCCUUUUUUUAGUCCUGAAGUGGGUGGAACUCAAAAAGACAGACAUGGAAAAUCUCUGCUUAUGUGCAACAUCCUGACAAGCCAUGCAGAGGACACUAAAUGUCGAGGUGCCUCACCCCAGACCUGGCACUGCUUUGCUGGGUGACCUUGGGUAAGUCACUUGCUGUCACUGUCCUUUUGUCUCCUCCAUAAGUGGGAUAAACUAUGCUGGAGCAGAUGUUAGUGUGCUAAACGCAGGACCCAGAAGUCACUGUUACAAGGAAAAUACCAUGAUAUUACAAGGAGGUGACCUUCUCCAGCAGUUCAGUGAUGGUCCUUGAAGUGACAAGGAGGAGAAAUAAUAAAAAGGGCAAGGUUGGGAGUGGAAGACCAAAGCCCUACCGAGAUCACUGUCAUCAUAUUGGCACGGGCAGCUGUCCCAUGGGGCUGGCUUGGGGGUUAAGUCCGCUGGGUCAGCAUCCUGGGCUGGUGGGCUUCCUAUCUGUGGCCUGAGCCUCUCCGUGCUAUCCAGCUGUCCUCCACAGACACUGCUGCUGCUCCUGAGCACAGCACUGCCCCAGAUGUACCGGCUGGUGAGAGUCUCGUCCUAAAUCAAUCUUCAAAACAAAGCUAGUAUGCCAGAGACCCCAGCGCAUUAGCUGAAAGUAAUAGUUUUCAAAUGCUUCCAUAAAAUGUCACAGCUGGAGCUUGAAAA
Molecule: long non-coding RNA, 12668 nt
Organism: Anas platyrhynchos (mallard)
Lineage: Eukaryota; Metazoa; Chordata; Aves; Anseriformes; Anatidae
Source: RefSeq, a predicted model, not a curated record